UACGUAGGGGGCAAGCGUUGUCCGGAAUCAUUGGGCGUAAAGAGCGUGUAGGCGGCCCGAUAAGUCCGCCGUGAAAGUCCAGGGCUCAACCCUGGAAUGCCGGUGGAAACUGUCGGGCUGGAGUCCGGAAGAGGCGAGUGGAAUUCCUGGUGUAGCGGUGAAAUGCGCAGAUAUCGUGAGGAAGACCAGUGGCGAAGGCGGGUCUCUGGACAGUUCCUGACACUGAGGCACGAAGGCCAGGGGAGCAAACGGG
Molecule: ribosomal RNA, 253 nt
Filed under: uncultured bacterium
Lineage: Bacteria
Description: partial 16S ribosomal RNA
Rfam family: Bacterial small subunit ribosomal RNA
Source: RNAcentral